GACGAACGCUGGCGGCGUGCUUAACACAUGCAAGUCGAGCGGUAAGGCCCUUUCGGGGGUACGACGAGCGGCGAACGGGUGAGUAACACGUGGGUGACCUGCCCUUAGCCCUGGGAUAAGCCUGGGAAACUGGGUCUAAUACCGGAUAUGACUCCAUGACGCAUGUUGUGGGGUGGAAAGCCUUGUGCGGCUAGGGAUGGGCCCGGCGGCCUAUCAGCUUGUUGGUGGGGUGAUGGCCUACCAAGGCGACGACGGGUAGCCGGCCUGAGAGAGCGACCGGCCACACUGGGACUGAGACACGGCCCAGACUCCUACGGGAGGCAGCAGUGGGGAAUCUUGCGCAAUGGGCGAAAGCCUGACGCAGCGACG
This 369-nucleotide ribosomal RNA is filed under the name uncultured bacterium. Its description in RNAcentral is "bacterial SSU rRNA". It matches the Rfam family "Bacterial small subunit ribosomal RNA", at positions 28 to 396 of the family's 1533-position model. The record is from RNAcentral.